Molecule: unclassified non-coding RNA, 396 nt
Filed under: fungal sp.
Lineage: Eukaryota; Fungi
Description: partial internal transcribed spacer region
Rfam family: Eukaryotic small subunit ribosomal RNA (bases 1-46)
Source: RNAcentral
AAGUCGUAACAAGGUUUCCGUAGGUGAACCUGCGGAAGGAUCAUUAACACCAACGUUUAACCACCCUGUGCACCUUCAUUGAAACCCUACGUUGGCGGAAAAACGGAUCGGGUGCAACUCACACGAGGUGUAUGAAGAUGGACCCAAGGAAGAUCGUGGAAGCGCGUUACAAAUAGGCGCGUUUCCAUUGUGUCUUCUGGAAAGUCGGUAACUCUGAGGAGGUAUCUUGAAAAGACCAAGACCACACCUUGGGUAACACCGGGUCCGCCUUAAAAACGCCGCAUGUGCCCUUGCAGGCGCAACCGAAGGAACCUAAGGGAUGGGGACUACCGAUGCGCCGGUCCUAGCGGGUUCAGGUGUCGGAAACCCCGAACAGCAAUGGAUAUCUUGGCUCUC